UCCGUUGUAGUCUAGUUGGUCAGGAUAUUCGGCUCUCACCCGAAAGACCCGGGUUCAAGUCCCGGCGACGGAACCA
This 76-nucleotide transfer RNA is filed under the name Lupinus luteus (yellow lupine). RNAcentral describes it as "tdbR00000058". It matches the Rfam family "tRNA". Rfam says of the family: Transfer RNA (tRNA) molecules are approximately 80 nucleotides in length. Their secondary structure includes four short double-helical elements and three loops (D, anti-codon, and T loops). The record is from RNAcentral. Lineage: Eukaryota; Viridiplantae; Streptophyta; Magnoliopsida; Fabales; Fabaceae.